AGAGUUUGAUCCUGGCUCAGGACGAACGCUGGCGGCGUGGCCUAACACAUGCAAGUCGAACGGACGAAGGAGCUUCGGCUCCCUAGUUAGUGGCGAACGGGUGAGUAACGCGUGAGCAACCUGCCUUUCAGAGGGGGACAACAGCUGGAAACGGCUGCUAAUACCGCAUAACAUGAUUUAGCCGCAUGACUGGAUCAUCAAAGAUUUAUCGCUGAAAGAUGGGCUCGCGUCUGAUUAGCUAGUUGGUGGGGUAAAGGCCACCAAGGCGACGAUCAGUAGCCGGACUGAGAGGUUGAACGGCCACAUUGGGACUGAGAUACGGCCCAGACUCCUACGGGAGGCA
RNAcentral lists this ribosomal RNA (343 nucleotides) under uncultured bacterium. RNAcentral's name for it is "bacterial SSU rRNA". It matches the Rfam family "Bacterial small subunit ribosomal RNA", at positions 8 to 350 of the family's 1533-position model. The record is from RNAcentral.